RNAcentral lists this ribosomal RNA (536 nucleotides) under soil fungal sp. DM2-212. Its description in RNAcentral is "eukaryotic LSU rRNA". It matches the Rfam family "Eukaryotic large subunit ribosomal RNA", at positions 104 to 655 of the family's 3401-position model. The record is from RNAcentral. Lineage: Eukaryota; Fungi.
AGAGCUCAAAUUUGAAAGCUGGCCCCCUCGGGGUCCGCAUUGUAAUUUGUAGAGGAUGCUUCGGGAGCGGUCCCCAUCUAAGUGCCCUGGAACGGGCCGUCAUAGAGGGUGAGAAUCCCGUAUGGGAUGGGGUGCCCGCGCCCGGGUGAAGCUCCUUCAACAAGUCGAGUUGUUUGGGAAUGCAGCUCUAAUUGGGUGGUAAAUUUCAUCUAAAGCUAAAUAUUGGCCGGAGACCGAUAGCGCACAAGUAGAGUGAUCGAAAGAUGAAAAGCACUUUGAAAAGAGAGUUAAACAGCACGUGAAAUUGUUGAAAGGGAAGCGCUUGCGAUCAAACUCGCUCGCGGGGUUCAGCCGGCCUUCGGGCCGGUGUACUUCCCCGCGGGCGGGCCAGCGUCGGUUUGGGCGGCCGGUCAAAGGCCCCUGGAAUGUAACGCCUCUCGGGGCGUCUUAUANCCGGGGGUGCCAUGCGGCCUGCCCGGACCGAGGAACGCGCUUCGGCUCGGACGCUGGCAUAAUGGUCGUAAGCGACCCGUCUU